Molecule: long non-coding RNA, 740 nt
Organism: Phyllostomus discolor (pale spear-nosed bat)
Lineage: Eukaryota; Metazoa; Chordata; Mammalia; Chiroptera; Phyllostomidae
Exons: 3
Source: RefSeq, a predicted model, not a curated record
AAUCUCACUUUAGGCAGCACCCCGCUUACACCGAAAACAUCGACCUUCCACUUGAGAGCUGGUUGUGGAAAGCGAAGCCCUGAAUCCUCAGGAGUGCCUCCUUCCAGAGUGCCUGGGGCGGCUGCGCAGUGCAGAUAUACCUACUAAGAAGAUAGAAGACUUACUUUCAUCAUCUGAAUCAAAUCCAAAGAGUGCCUGACAUUUCUUUUGUGCAAGACAUCCCAGUGUGAUGCUGCUCCAGAAUCCAGGUCUGCACCUCCUGCUCCACCUCCAGCCACUUUGGAGGUUUCCCUCCCAUUGCCUUCUUCUGUCCAGGCACCUAAAGAAGCUUUUCUUCCUGUUGCCUCCACAAUCUGAUGACACUCUCUGUGGGAGGUGGUCCAAAGUAUCUCUCAGCAGCUCUGUUGCCAUGCUUUUUAGCAUAUUUAAUAACUUUUAGUUUAAAGAUUGCAGUGUAUAAAAACUGUUUUGACAUUUUCCAAGGGAUUUUUCAAUAAUUUCUCCUGCCUAAAAUGUACAGAGAGAAUUGUUGUGCUGUUCACCCUCUGGUAAUAAAGUCGGCAUCACCUGUCUUACCAAGUGGAUAACAAUACAUCAUUCUUUGUUUCAUUUCAUUGAAAUGAAAAUCAUUAGCCUAAACUGUUUUUGUUGCAAGUCCAUCAUAAAUUCAACAAAACCAAUGAUCAUUUCCAAGGUAUUAUUUCUCAUACAGAUAUUAUUACUGCUUUCUAGAGUUACAC